AGAGUUUGAUCAUGGCUCAGAUUGAACGCUGGCGGCAUGCCUUACACAUGCAAGUCGAACGGCAGCACGGGGGCAACCCUGGUGGCGAGUGGCGAACGGGUGAGUAAUACAUCGGAACGUGUCCUGUAGUGGGGGAUAGCCCGGCGAAAGCCGGAUUAAUACCGCAUACGCUCUACGGAGGAAAGGGGGGGAUCUUAGGACCUCCCGCUACAGGGGCGGCCGAUGGCAGAUUAGCUAGUUGGUGGGGUAAAGGCCUACCAAGGCGACGAUCUGUAGCUGGUCUGAGAGGACGACCAGCCACACUGGGACUGAGACACGGCCCAGACUCCUACGGGAGGCAGCAGUGGGGAAUUUUGGACAAUGGGGGCAACCCUGAUCCAGCAAUGGCCGCGUGUGUGAAGAAGGCCUUCGGGUUGUAAAGCACUUUUGUCCGGAAAGAAAACGCCGUGGUUAAUACCCGUGGCGGAUGACGGUACCGGAAGAAUAAGCACCGGCUAACUACGUGCCAGCAGCCGCGGUAAUACGUAGGGUGCAAGCGUUAAUCGGAAUUACUGGGCGUAAAGCGUGCGCAGGCGGUCCGCUAAGACAGAUGUGAAAUCCCCGGGCUUAACCUGGGAACUGCAUUUGUGACUGGCGGGCUAGAGUAUGGCAGAGGGGGGUAGAAUUCCACGUGUAGCAGUGAAAUGCGUAGAGAUGUGGAGGAAUACCGAUGGCGAAGGCAGCCCC
RNAcentral lists this ribosomal RNA (726 nucleotides) under uncultured bacterium. RNAcentral's name for it is "bacterial SSU rRNA". It matches the Rfam family "Bacterial small subunit ribosomal RNA", at positions 8 to 728 of the family's 1533-position model. The record is from RNAcentral.